CCUACGGGAGGCUGCAGUGGGGAAUAUUGGACAAUGGGGGGAACCCUGAUCCAGCCAUGCCGCGUGUGUGAAGAAGGCCCUCGGGUUGUAAAGCACUUUCAGUGAGGAAGAACGCCUGGUGGUUAAUACCCAUCAGGAAAGACAUCACUCACAGAAGAAGCACCGGCUAACUCCGUGCCAGCAGCCGCGGUAAUACGGAGGGUGCGAGCGUUAAUCGGAAUUACUGGGCGUAAAGCGCGCGUAGGUGGCUUGAUAAGCCGGUUGUGAAAGCCCCGGGCUCAACCUGGGAACGGCAUCCGGAACUGUCAAGCUAGAGUGCAGGAGAGGAAGGUAGAAUUCCCGGUGUAGCGGUGAAAUGCGUAGAGAUCGGGAGGAAUUCCAGUGGCGAAGGCGGCCUUCUGGACUGACACUGACACUGAGGUGCGAAAGCGUGGGUAGCAAACAGGAUUAGAUACCCUUGUAGUC
Molecule: ribosomal RNA, 465 nt
Filed under: Vreelandella stevensii
Lineage: Bacteria; Pseudomonadati; Pseudomonadota; Gammaproteobacteria; Oceanospirillales; Halomonadaceae
Description: partial 16S ribosomal RNA
Rfam family: Bacterial small subunit ribosomal RNA
Source: RNAcentral